This 69-nucleotide transfer RNA is filed under the name Cavia porcellus (domestic guinea pig). It matches the Rfam family "tRNA". Rfam says of the family: Transfer RNA (tRNA) molecules are approximately 80 nucleotides in length. Their secondary structure includes four short double-helical elements and three loops (D, anti-codon, and T loops). Further hydrogen bonds mediate the characteristic L-shaped molecular structure. tRNAs have two regions of fundamental functional importance: the anti-codon, which is responsible for specific mRNA codon recognition, and the 3' end, to which the tRNAs corresponding amino acid is attached (by aminoacyl-tRNA synthetases). tRNAs cope with the degeneracy of the genetic code in two manners: having more than one tRNA (with a specific anti-codon) for a particular amino acid; and 'wobble' base-pairing, i.e. permitting non-standard base-pairing at the 3rd anti-codon position. The record is from Rfam by way of RNAcentral. Lineage: Eukaryota; Metazoa; Chordata; Mammalia; Rodentia; Caviidae.
GGGCAGCUCAAUGGCAGAGUGCAUGCCUGGAAUGCAUGAGGCUCUGGGUUCAACCCCUAGCAAUGUCCA